GACCAAUCAGUGUCCGCUAUUCGUGACAGUCCGCCAUAUUUUUGAGAUCAGUGAGGAUGACCCAUUGAACUAUAAAUAAACUGGAAGGCUAACUCAGGGGGGGGGGGGAAAUUGAAGCCAGUGCAUUUUAGUUUUUCUGAGUUAUGAGCAGAAAUACUCAACACUGAACGUUGGGCUAUAUAUCAAAUUGAAGCUAUUGAAAAACGCUAUUUGGGGUAGAAAUUUCAAGAUUUUAGCUAAAAGGGAANNNNNNNNNNNNNNNNNNNNAGGGAAAUAUUGAAAAACUACAAACAUAAUUACCGAUAAUUUGCCGUUUUGCAGUUGUUUUUGUAUUUUUUAAAUAUUUUUCUUUUGGCUGAAGUCUUAAAAUUUCCACACCGAAUAGCAAUUUUCAAUAGCUUCACUUUGAUAUGUAGCCCGACGUUUGGGGUCAAGUAUCUCUGCUCAUAACUCAGAAAAACUAUUUUGGCUUCAUCAAAUCAUAGGCCUUCAUCAUAGCAGUUAGCCUUCCAGUUUAUUUAUAGUUCAAUGGGAUGACCUCCCACCCAACACCGUUGGUGACCCACGCCCGCGAUAU
Molecule: long non-coding RNA, 577 nt
Filed under: Paramuricea clavata
Lineage: Eukaryota; Metazoa; Cnidaria; Anthozoa; Malacalcyonacea; Plexauridae
Source: RNAcentral